Molecule: ribosomal RNA, 253 nt
Filed under: uncultured bacterium
Lineage: Bacteria
Description: partial 16S ribosomal RNA
Rfam family: Bacterial small subunit ribosomal RNA
Source: RNAcentral
UACGUAGGGUCCGAGCGUUGUCCGGAAUUACUGGGCGUAAAGCGCGCGCAGGCGGCCCGCGAGGUGUCACGUGAAAGCCCCGGGCUCAACUGGGGAGGGUCACGCGAUACUGUUCGACUCGAAGGCAGGAGAGGGAAGCAGAAUUCCCGGUGUAGUGGUGAAAUGCGUAGAUAUCGGGAGGAAUACCAGUGGCGAAGGCGGCUUCCUGGCCUGUUCUUGACGCUGAGGCGCGAAAGCUAGGGUAGCAAACGGG